CCCUUUCCUUCCCUCUAAUUUCUUGGAAUUCUCACGCUCACAUCACUGAAUUUUCCUUUCCCACAAACAGCCCCUUAGGAUAUUUCUCUAUAUCUUCACUAUCACAACAUUUCCCCAAGCCUCUUUGUCUUUAGAGGAAAAAAUCCACAAAUUGCAUUUCCCUCCCGACGAACACCCCCCCCAAAGUUCGGUUCGCAAUUAUCCAAUGCAACUGUCCGUUCCCACCGAAACCAAUUCAAAUGCCCUCCAAAACCUCGAAAACCCUGGAUCCCCAAAACCCACUUUGACAG
RNAcentral lists this unclassified non-coding RNA (290 nucleotides) under Hevea brasiliensis (rubber tree). Lineage: Eukaryota; Viridiplantae; Streptophyta; Magnoliopsida; Malpighiales; Euphorbiaceae. The record is from RNAcentral.